RNAcentral lists this non-coding RNA (105 nucleotides) under Thalassiosira minuscula. Lineage: Eukaryota; Bacillariophyta; Thalassiosirophyceae; Thalassiosirales; Thalassiosiraceae. The record is from RNAcentral.
GCAGGACAAAUGCAACAAUAGACGUUGAUCGAGGAUGCUGCUCAUUCUUUCCAGCUUCUUUUUCUGCAGCUUCUUUUGAUUUCUUUUUCUUCUUUUUCUUUUCCU